RNAcentral lists this ribosomal RNA (434 nucleotides) under uncultured organism. RNAcentral describes it as "bacterial SSU rRNA". It matches the Rfam family "Bacterial small subunit ribosomal RNA", at positions 346 to 794 of the family's 1533-position model. The record is from RNAcentral.
GCGCAGCAGUCGAGAAUUUUUCACAAUGGGGGAAACCCUGAUGGAGCGACGCCGCGUGGAGGAUGAAGGUAUUCGUAUCGUAAACUCCUGUCAAACGGGAACAAGAAAGUGAUAGUACCGUUAGAGGAAGAGACGGCUAACUCUGUGCCAGCAGCCGCGGUAAUACAGAGGUCUCAAGCGUUGUUCGGAUUCAUUGGGCGUAAAGGGUGCGCAGGCUGUGGGGUAAGUCGGAUGUGAAAUUUAGGGGCUCAACCCCUAAACUGCAUUCGAUACUGCUCCGCUAGAGGACUGUAGAGGAGAUUGGAAUUCACGGUGUAGCAGUGAAAUGCGUAGAUAUCGUGAGGAAGACCAGUGGCGAAGGCGAAUCUCUGGGCAGUUCCUGACGCUCAUGCACGAAGGCCAGGGGAGCAAACGGGAUUAGAUACCCCCGUAGU